Molecule: ribosomal RNA, 410 nt
Filed under: Verrucomicrobiota bacterium
Lineage: Bacteria; Pseudomonadati; Verrucomicrobiota
Description: Verrucomicrobia bacterium partial 16S ribosomal RNA
Rfam family: Bacterial small subunit ribosomal RNA
Source: RNAcentral
UGGGGAAUCUUGCACAAUGGGCGAAAGCCUGAUGCAGCGACGCCGCGUGCGGGAUGAAGGCCUUCGGGUUGUAAACCGCUUUCAGCAGGGACGAGGCCGCAAGGUGACGGUACCUGCAGAAGAAGCCCCGGCUAACUACGUGCCAGCAGCCGCGGUAAUACGUAGGGGGCAAGCGUUAUCCGGAUUAAUUGGGCGUAAAGCGCGCGUAGGCGGUUUGUUAGGUCAGGAGUUAAAUCUGGGGGCUCAACCCCUAUCCGCUCCUGAUACCGGCAGGCUUGAGUCUGGUAGGGGAAGGCGGAAUUCCAAGUGUAGCGAUGAAAUGCGCAGAUAUUUGGAAGAACACCGGUGGCGAAGGCGGCCUUCUGGGCCACGACUGACGCUGAGGCGCGAAAGCUAGGGGAGCGAACAGG